RNAcentral lists this ribosomal RNA (305 nucleotides) under uncultured bacterium. RNAcentral describes it as "partial 16S ribosomal RNA". It matches the Rfam family "Bacterial small subunit ribosomal RNA", at positions 505 to 807 of the family's 1533-position model. The record is from RNAcentral.
ACAGCAGCAGCCACGGGAAUACGUAGGUGGCAAGCGUUAUCCGGAAUUAUUGGGCGUAAAGCGCGCGCAGGCGGUUUCUUAAGUCUGAUGUGAAAGCCCACGGCUCAACCGUGGAGGGUCAUUGGAAACUGGGGAACUUGAGUGCAGAAGAGAAAAGCGGAAUUCCACGUGUAGCGGUGAAAUGCGUAGAGAUGUGGAGGAACACCAGUGGCGAAGGCGGCUUUUUGGUCUGUAACUGACGCUGAGGCGCGAAAGCGUGGGGAGCAAACAGGAUUAGAUACCCGUGUAGUCCCUGUCUCUUAUAC